CCACAACAGAGUUGUGCCUCGUUCUACUGUGAGUUUUCUCGCUUCGUUUCUAUCUUGAUUUUUUUCAUUAGAGUGAGGAGCCAUGGGUAUAACAGCGUCUUCUGGAUCACUACUACCUAAGUGGAUGCUUAGGUAGUGGAAUGGUUUUGAAAGGUAGUGGAAGAAGAAGCGUUGGGACAAACAUAAGCUUAAGCUAAGCUAACCUCCAGUGUUUUAUAUGGCAUGGUUUUGAUUUAUGGUUAGUCUUCCAGUUGCUUAGAAUGUGUUCUUUUGAUGCUGCAGUCAUGGAAUCUUUGUACCUAUGCAAUUUGGAUUGCUCUAAUGGACUUAGGUUAGGUUGUUAUGUUUUGUUGAAUGUGUGGAAGGUAUAAAUUAAGAAGCCUAAGUUUAUAAGAAGUUUGGUUCUCUUGUUAAUAAAAAAAUAUAGAAUAAUUAUGCAGUAAAAAUCUGCAUAAUUUCCAGCAUUAGCAAUAGAAGUAGCAACAUGGCUUUACAAGCAUUACCAUGCCUUUACAGCAAUAUAACACCAGAACUCCAGCACUACAUUCGCAUGAGAACAUAUAAAAAAAAGUGAUUCAACAACAGAAAAUAAAAGACAACAUAAGAGACUAACUAAAGCACUGAAAUGGUCGAACCAAGUAGCAGCAGGGACAGUAACAGUUGAACAUUAGGGAGACAUAAACCAGAACAUUUCUUUCUUUGUAACAAUUUUUCAUUUCUUUGUUCUUCUUUUCUUAUAUAUGUAAUUCUCUUAAAAUGUUUUCCGAAAACUAAGCUCUAAACUUAUUAUUUUUAAAUAAAUUAUGCAAAUUAUUAGAGAGAUUUUUUUAAACAAAUAAUUACAAAAAGUAGAGAUGAUAUAUAUUUUUAUUAUAAGUGAUGCAAAUAUGAUAACUUAUAAUAAUCUACCAGAAUCAACAUUUAUGUGAAGUACAAAAGACAACCUAGUUCAAGUACAAACAGUUUUGGUAUACUUGGAUUUGUUUUGGUGUUGUGCUACUAAGUAUGGAUACUACGUUUUUAUUAGUUAUUAAGAGUGUUUUAGGAUCAAAUUAAGAGUGAAGAAUUGAUGAGAGCAUUAGGUUUCUAAAAAUCAGAAAAGCGAUUAUGAAGCCUUGAAUGUGUGAGUAUAAGUAUAGGAUAUAGAGCCAUUCAUAAUGUCAAAGGAUGAUUUCAAAUGAGAGAUUGAAA
Molecule: long non-coding RNA, 1191 nt
Filed under: Phaseolus vulgaris (common bean)
Lineage: Eukaryota; Viridiplantae; Streptophyta; Magnoliopsida; Fabales; Fabaceae
Description: long non-coding RNA (PVUL_LNC003845)
Source: RNAcentral